Molecule: transfer RNA, 66 nt
Filed under: Gampsocleis sinensis
Lineage: Eukaryota; Metazoa; Arthropoda; Insecta; Orthoptera; Tettigoniidae
Description: tRNA-Asp
Source: RNAcentral
AAGAAAUUAGUUAAUUCAUAACGUUAGUAUGUCAUACUAAAAUAAUUAAACACUUAAUAUUUCUUU